AGGGGGAGACGAACCUAACACACCAGAAAGAGAAACGAACGAAGACCAAGACGCCCCGCAGCCCCCAGGUUUCUGAUGAGCCUGAAGAGGAGAAGCGCCUCCUCUUUGAAUCCACCAGUGAUGGACAGUGGUGUGUUAUUACUGGAGGACGGUUAAAUGUGGGAUUUCAGGCCAAGCAGCUGUCGCCGACGACCUGACGCUGGACAGUGAAAAUAAAACUGAUCAAUGGACAUGAAGUCACUGUUGCCGACGGCAGCGACGCAACGUCUUUAUCUGGAUGACAAAAAAAAAAAAAAGAAACGGGACAGAGAGAGGACGUCAACGGCGAAAGCUGCAACGUGCGACACUCGUGUGUUGUACGCUGCUUUGAACAGCUGAUCAGAAAACACCUGUGCUAGACGCUUAAGUAGGUGAUGUAGAUGACGCGUAGAUGAAAUAUUACAGAAGUUGUGCAUGUGUGCUUUUUAUAUUUGACUCUUUUAGGUGAUAAUUCUAAAUAUGGUUAGAUCUCUUGUGUUUGUACUUAGUAAUUUCUUCUUUAGCAUCAUAAUAUUUUCUAAUUUAAUUUGUCUCAUGUAAAACUGAAGAUUUCAAUCAUGACGUGAACAAUCUACAGUGUGUGACUGGAUUACUUGGUGCAAUAAUAAGAGGUUUAGAGAAUAUGACAAUAUAUGCAGUGACGCAGUAAUUUACUGUAAAUAACCUGGGAGUGAAUACGUCAUUAUUUUUGUUUAAUGACGUGCUGCUCAAAAUAAUUUUCCACUGUGCUAUUAGUACUUUGGUUCAAAAUACAUUUAGAAAAUGGUUGUAAUAGGUUUUUUAUUACUCACAGCACAUUUUAUUAUUUUAUGUUCAUCAGUACUUCACUGCAGCAUUUUACAACACAGUCACUACAGGAAUUAGUUAAUGCAAACAAAGCUGUUUAUUAUUAUUUAUUAUGUUUCCAUUUUUAUCUAUGCAAAAGGAAAAAAGUGAUAAAACUUGCACUAGGAGUGUUUUUACACAGGAACUAUUGUUAUGUUUGCACAAUAUCUGUUCGAUGUACGGGUAUGGAGAAAUGUGGUGUACUAAUAUGAGCACAGGUGCAAUGUGGGAUGUUGAUUUGACUGUGUAUGCGUAUGUGUGUGUGUGUUAUCUGCUCGGAGUAGAAACAGUGAAGUUCUUCUUGGCAGAAAUGUAGCAGAUCUGUUGAGUGAAACCAUGAUUGCACUAAAGUCUGAAAGACUCAAAACAGUAUUGAUUCCACAUGUCAAAUCUCAGUGAAACUGUAAAUGUGACAUGAGAACCUGUGAAUAUGUGCUACAGAAUAUAUUUUAACAUAGAGAGAAAUGAUAUCAAUGCGCUAUUAUGCACUGAACUAUUGUUUAAAGCUGGACUUGCACAUGAGAUACUGCCUGUUUCUAUGCAACUGUUUGUUAUGCAUUAAUAAUCAAUAAAAGUAGGAAUGUUUACAUUGAGACAA
Molecule: long non-coding RNA, 1462 nt
Organism: Betta splendens (Siamese fighting fish)
Lineage: Eukaryota; Metazoa; Chordata; Actinopteri; Anabantiformes; Osphronemidae
Exons: 3
Source: RefSeq, a predicted model, not a curated record